UCGUCGAUUUCUGUAGGGGUA
RNAcentral lists this non-coding RNA (21 nucleotides) under Arabidopsis thaliana (thale cress). Lineage: Eukaryota; Viridiplantae; Streptophyta; Magnoliopsida; Brassicales; Brassicaceae. The record is from RNAcentral.